AUGCUUUAGCAGCACAUGUACUAAAAUUGGAAUGAUACAACAAAGAUUAGCAUGGCCCCUGCACAAGGAUGACACACACAUUUGCAAAGUGGUCUGUAUUAAA
Cervus hanglu yarkandensis (Yarkand deer) is the source of this 103-nucleotide small nuclear RNA. Lineage: Eukaryota; Metazoa; Chordata; Mammalia; Artiodactyla; Cervidae. The record is from Ensembl.